GAGCUUUAAUCUUCAAAUGUGCACUCCACUUUUACAUAAUCCCAUAUCAACAUUCCCACAAAUAUUCAAAAAGUGAAAAAAAGUGAAAAGCAAAUAAGCACACAGACACAUUUUUUUAAAAAAAAGUUAAAACUUAAACUAAAAAAUGUUAAGAAUGAAGAUUAAAUGGUAAACAUUUACAGGCCCCGGGUGCCGCCAUACGCCCUACAUUAGUUAAGAGUGGACUUUGCCCUCAGUCAUGCGUCAGCAGCCUUACACAACGAUGACAGUGACGUCCAAGUGUGAAUGAGUUUGUGUGUGUGUGUGUGUGGACAGACCAGUUUGCAGGCAAAUUAUUGACUGAUAAAGCCACUCCAGGCCAAACAAUAUUAAUAAAUCCAAUUUAGCAGAGCGGGUUUUUAUUGCACAAGAGGAGCAUUGAUUUUUCUCUUUGAUGUCCAAUCUUAUCAAUUAAAAUUGAAGCAGAAAUAGAACACUGUGUUAUUAGAUAGGUUACUGAAGGUCAGCCUGUUGGCUAAGUGAUGAUUACUCUCUACUGGGGCUAAAGGUGUUGAUCAUGGUUUAGGGUUUCUUCUAGGAUCCCUUUACAAAGCAUACUGAAUGCCUCACAGAUCCAGGGGGUUAGUGUAGGUGACCUCUGACCCCUUGCUGCCUAGGAAAGUAAGAAAGUGAGUGGAGAAUUUAAGCUGCAAACAUUUUCAUUGUAAGAGCAUCGUAGGAGUGCUUUCUCACUUGGGCAGUGAACCUUUCAAAGAUUUGCACUUGUCCUUUUAAAAUUCGAUUUUGGUCUUGAAGUGAGUUUUGAAAUCCAGAGAAUCAAGUCUGAAACACUCUCAAAAGAGCUACUGUCAGAUUUUUUUAUUAUUAUUAUUAUCACUGCAGCCCAUCAGGGUUCCACAUAAUUAUAAAAUCCUGAUAAGAUCUUUGUGAAGCUGUUAUUUCUUUAUCCAAUGUGGUAAUCAACACAGAUCCUACAUGUGUUAUAGUUGAGAAAACACACUCUUUUAGCCACUAUCGUGUUUAUAUCAUCUGUGCUGCAGACCCCGUGUUCAAUUUAGUGCUGUUACGGCUCUCACCAUGGUCUUUGUCUCUAUGGUUUAAUGCUCUCAGCUUUUGGAGAAGGUUUUAAAAUGCACUCACUGCUAUGAGACCAUAACAAAAGCAUUAAAAUCAUUUCAACCACAGUGUUUGAUCGAGGUAAAAUGUGAUUCCACUACUGAUUGUUUCUAAUCAAGUGUAACUCACUCACGUGUUCACUGGAGACUGUUUUUACUGGGUAAGAAUUGGUCAAAUGCGCCUAGAUGUGCUUGAAAGCGACAUUCAUACAUUGCCAUCUAGUGACCAUAAUAUGAACUAAUAAAUUAAUCCAGUCCCAUUGUCUUCGGCCAAACAUACUUUACACACACUAUACAAGAGUUUGCUUACAACCUAAAAAAUGAAGCAAAAAACAAGGUUAAGGCAGAAAAAAAGAUUAAAAACAUAGAGAAAAUCAUACAACAUCAACUUAAUCAAACUUAAGUACCAAAUUUUGGAAAGGUGUACACAGUCUGCCAUCUGUCCCUCAACUAAACAUAGAAAAAUGGAUUUUCAAUGACUUAAAUGGUCUUGUUUAUUAAUGCUGCUGGACAUCAGCAGCCCACAAACAUGUUCAGCUGGCUUGAAAGAAAGAGGAUGAUGACAGAAUGAAGACAGAAUAAGGUCUGGUGUGUUCACAGAGUGGUCCAGUGGCCAGGACCUCCAAACCAGGUUGACUGUACUCCAUGGAGUGGUAACUCUGUGUGCCAGAGAUGAACUACUUUGGAGUGCCAUUAUAGAACAGAUCAGGAGGCAAAACUAUAAGGGCCCCUACUAAAUACUUAGACCCUUAAGUGGUCCCAAACCGUGCCCUGACUCAUGUAUGUUCAGACAUAGAAUGAGACAGACUCCUAACACAGAGCACUUUGAUCGUGAUUGGGAUCACGGCUGCCAGCCAGUCAAGUAGAAGAUCAACUCUGAAAAUUUAGAUUUUGAUGACAUGGAAGAUGAAGAGGUUAACCCAACACAUAUGAGACGUUCAGUAGAAGCUCCCCAGAAUCAAGAUUCUCCACAAUCAACGAGAAUAGUAUCCUGCCUCCUUGUAAUGUUAAACAACCUCAGAAGCUUGGGUAAGUUAUCGUAGACAAUCUCUGUUAGACAGGGGUAGCUGUGCCUCAGUGGGAGAGUUUGUUUUCUCUCAUUCAGAGUUUGGUGGUUUUACACCAGCUCCUUAUGCUGAAGUGUCCGUAGAAGAAAUGCUGGACCCCAUCUGCUCCUUCUGUCAAAACCAGCAGCAUAAAAGUAUCAAAAGUGAUGGUCACCGAGUAUCAUCUUUAAAAAUUGUCAUCAUUUUCUGUAUCAUCUUCUGCUAUCAGUGUAUAAAUGUAGUAGAAUGGGUGGAUUUGACAUAGUGGUUGAAAAGACUCCCACCAGACUGAAAAACACAAAAAUGGUACUGAGCAUUUAUCAUUUUUACCAUUUGUCAGGGUUAAUGUGUAGUGAGCAGGUGGUUAUGUGAAUUGGAGCCCUGACAGGGUGAGUAGGAUCCUACUGUAGUGCAAAGAAGUCUUGUCUCAUAAAUCACAGAUUCUGAAAAGUCUUCAAGCCCACAGAAACAAUAAGUUAACAGCUAGAGCUGAUAUAUUAGUCAGUAAGGAAUAAUAAGAAGAAACAGUAUUGACAAAGAUAUUUAUAUUUUUUGUUCCUUACAGAGAAAGAAGUCACCGGUGGAUUCUGACUCCAGACUGCUGAAGAUCAAAUGAAGAAGAUUCAAAGUUUUUAAGAUACUCCAGUAACAAAUAUUUGCCAAAUUCUGCCUCAACUCUUGCCUCACCCAAAUAGACAAGGUCAUGUCAUGUUGGCAAAAUCACAGCAGUAAGAUGCCGACUUCAGACUGAUGACUGUACGGACCUCCAACAGAUAAACCUAUUGAGAGACCCAACAGAAAGUCUGCCCCUCUGUUUAGAGCUGCUGAGUGGUGAUUACUGGUGAGUUUUUCAUCACAGAUUAAUUAUUCGGCUCCAAAAAGAUUCAAAACUGAUAAUUGUUGUGGAUACUUCUAGGGUCAUCAUCAAAAACAUCGUCUUUGCACUAAAGACAGUUCUACAUACCUUAUCUGUUGUUGCAUCAGUGAACCAAAGCACUUACAUUGGUCAUCUUUUAUAACUUCUGUCUGUUAUAGUUUAAACCAAAAUGCAAACAUACAGUAAAAUUCACUAAAUAUAUCAUCUCUCACACAGGAAGAAGAUAAAUGAGCUCAAGAUCAUCCGAGCUCGAGCACAGCACCACCAGGAGGAACUGCUUGAUGAGGUGUGUUCUAAGGUGGUGCACGAUAUACAGAAGUUUCUCUUGUCUUUGUAUUCUUUUAUCUAUAAGUGUGCACAUUUACGUAUACCUGCCCACCCCAAAGAAGACAUGGAGAAGACAGGCCAAGCUCUGCUCUUCAAGAGUACACAAGCAAGGGCCACCGCAUUUCUCCUGCAGCAGGUCGAUAAGGUGCUGGAACUGAGCUGCAGUCCAGGACCAGUACUGAGGGUUCUAGUGACUACAGGGCUGGGGUAUGUUCACAGAGACAAUAACAUCAUGACAAGAUCAGCAGUGGGAACAUUUCAAAUCAUUAUUCAAUCAUAAAAGGAGAAAAGUGACUGUGUUUGUCCUUGUCCUUUACAACCAGCUGCAUGCUGCAAUGAGGACCAGCACAGUGCAACAACUACACCUGCUGGCCGACCUACUGGGAGUGAGUGUAGUCUUCUCAGCUUUAAAAACCUCCAAUGAGACUUUUCCGGGUACAGUGAACAAGAUGGCUUUGGACUGUGAGUAUUCACACUAUGAAAUAAAUUUUCAAAUUACUUAUCAGACUACUAACUCAUCUGACAAUGUUCAGAUUUUAUUUUUGGCUCUAAAUUGUAUAUUGAAAUCAUAUCUCUCUUCAGUCCCCAUGGAAUGGUCAUCCUUGUAGAAGUAGCCCUUCAUAACGACUUUAUGGUAGAGAGUUGUCACCGCAAAGGGCCAACCUUAUCUGGAGAGGUUCCUGGCAAGCAUAAGGCAGUAGUAGAAGAGAAGGCCCUAAAGAAGAGGACUUGAACUGAUAACAUAAGAUAAGAAAAGCUUUAUUGAUCCCUGAGGGGAAAUUCAAUAAGAUAUAAUAAUAAGUAAUAAAAUAAAGUCCGAUAAAAAUCAUUAAAGAAAACUCAUCUCAUGCGCAGUGUGUAGUGAUGGAAAAAAUGAAUUAUUGUCAGUAAAUGAAAGGUUUUGCAAAUUGAUGAAAUCUUAUAUUUGACUGAAAAGUACACAGCCAAAAUUGCACUAUGAAAAUGAACUUUUUUUUUGUCUUGUGAAAAAUCGAUGCACAUAUCAGCGUGCUCUCAAAGCUCAGAGCACCAAAGGAACUUCUCCCUGCAAAUAAGGUGAUUGGUAAAAAUAAAAAUCCUUGCAAGUCAUAAAAUUUUUAGAUAAUGUUCCAGGGUAAAUCUUCAAGAGGAAUUGGCAACACAAAAUAAAGUUAAGAGUGUAGGACUAAAUAAGCGCAAGUGACAGCAAGGAAACAACUUGACCUGUCACCAUAUGAUCCAAAUGGAGGGUUAUGAAGUUAUCUAACAUAUUUUCCUUGGCUUUGGGCAGCUCCUCAUUAGUUUUUUCAAUCAUAGAGGUUAAGCUGAUUAAAUACAUUAGCUUCCUUAAAUGUUUGCUCCUGCAACACUCCUUGUAGGGACAGGAAAACUCCCCACAUGGUGGCGCUGUUGCACACUUAUAUUAAUCGUACUGCAUGGCAGUCACAGCAUCACUAGAUCAUUGUUUUUUAUCACAGCACAAAUACAACAACCUCAAACAUCAAACCAGCAGACCUCACUCUGCUUCAGAAAGACAAGGACAGAUGGCAUGACUUGUGUUAAAAUGCAAGUGUUGACAGUUUAGUGUCUCUCUGCAUCACUUGCACCCUCUGAAAUUUCAAGUCCAACAAAGAGAGGAACAGUUCACAACAACGACAAGAUCAAUAAAUAUCCAA
Molecule: long non-coding RNA, 5020 nt
Filed under: Xyrichtys novacula (pearly razorfish)
Lineage: Eukaryota; Metazoa; Chordata; Actinopteri; Labriformes; Labridae
Source: RNAcentral